GAUGAACGCUGGCGGCGUGCUUAACACAUGCAAGUCGAACGGAAAGGCCCAAGCUUGCUUGGGUACUCGAGUGGCGAACGGGUGAGUAACACGUGGGUGAUCUGCCCUGCACUUCGGGAUAAGCCUGGGAAACUGGGUCUAAUACCGGAUAGGACGAUGGUUUGGAUGCCAUUGUGGAAAGUUUUUUCGGUGUGGGAUGAGCUCGCGGCCUAUCAGCUUGUUGGUGGGGUAAUGGCCUACCAAGGCGUCGACGGGUAGCCGGCCUGAGAGGGUGUACGGACACAUUGGGACUGAGAUACGGCCCAGACUCCUACGGGAGGCAGCAGUGGGGAAUAUUGCACAAUGGGCGCAAGCCUGAUGCAGCGACGCCGCGUGGGGGAUGACGGCCUUCGGGUUGUAAACUCCUUUCGCUAGGGACGAAGCGUUUUUGUGACGGUACCUGGAGAAGAAGCACCGGCUAACUACGUG
RNAcentral lists this ribosomal RNA (468 nucleotides) under uncultured bacterium. RNAcentral describes it as "partial 16S ribosomal RNA". It matches the Rfam family "Bacterial small subunit ribosomal RNA", at positions 28 to 507 of the family's 1533-position model. The record is from RNAcentral.